CCCUUAGAUGUUCGGGGCCGCACGCGCGCUACACUGAAGGAAUCAGCACGUCUUUCUCCUUGUCCGAAAGGACUGGGUAACCCGCUGAACCUCCUUCGUACUAGGGAUUGGGGCUUGUAAUUCUUCCCCAUGAACGAGGAAUUCCCAGUAAGCGCGAGUCAUAAGCUCGCGUUGAUUACGUCCCUGCCCUUUGUACACACCGCCCGUCGCUACUACCGAUUGGAUGGUUUAGUGAGAUCCUCGGAUUGGUCCCGGAGCGGCCUCUGGUCGUGCCGGAGUGCCGAAAAGAAUGUCGAACUUGAUCAUCUAGAGGAAGUAAAAGUCGUAACA
This 330-nucleotide ribosomal RNA is filed under the name uncultured eukaryote. Its description in RNAcentral is "partial 18S ribosomal RNA". It matches the Rfam family "Eukaryotic small subunit ribosomal RNA", at positions 1470 to 1796 of the family's 1831-position model. The record is from RNAcentral.